This 512-nucleotide ribosomal RNA is filed under the name uncultured bacterium. RNAcentral describes it as "bacterial SSU rRNA". It matches the Rfam family "Bacterial small subunit ribosomal RNA", at positions 19 to 518 of the family's 1533-position model. The record is from RNAcentral.
CUGGCUCAGGAUGAACGCUAGCUACAGGCUUAACACAUGCAAGUCGAGGGGCAGCAGGACGAUAGCUUGCUAUUGUUGCUGGCGACCGGCGCACGGGUGAGUAACGCGUAUCCAACCUUCCCCUUAGUAGGGCAUAGCCCGGUGAAAAUCGGAUUAAUACCCUAUGUUGUGUCAUGAGGACAUCUGAAUAACACUAAAGAUUUAUCGCUAAGGGAUGGGGAUGCGUCCGAUUAGGUAGUCGGCGGGGUAACGGCCCACCGAGCCCUCGAUCGGUAGGGGUUCUGAGAGGAAGGUCCCCCACACUGGUACUGAGACACGGACCAGACUCCUACGGGAGGCAGCAGUGAGGAAUAUUGGUCAAUGGGCGUAAGCCUGAACCAGCCAAGUAGCGUGCAGGAUGACGGCCCUAUGGGUUGUAAACUGUCUUUUAGUACGGGGAUAAAGUGAGGGACGUGUCCCUUAUUGUAGGUACCGUAUGAAUAAGGACCGGCUAAUUCCGUGCCAGCAGCCGC